Molecule: ribosomal RNA, 440 nt
Filed under: uncultured bacterium
Lineage: Bacteria
Description: partial 16S ribosomal RNA
Rfam family: Bacterial small subunit ribosomal RNA
Source: RNAcentral
CCUACGGGGGGCAGCAGUGGGGAAUAUUGCACAAUGGAGGAAACUCUGAUGCAGCGACGCCGCGUGAGUGAAGAAGUUUUUCGGUAUGUAAAGCUCUAUUAGCAGGGAAGAAAAUGACGGUACGUGAUUAAGCAGCCCCGGCUAAUUACGUGCCAGCAGCCCGGGUAUUACGGAGGGGGCAAGGGUUAGCCGGAUUUACUGGGUGUAAAGGGGGCGUAGGCGGCAGCACAAGUCUGGAGUGAAAUGCCGGGGCUUAACCCCGGAGCUGCUUGGGAAACUGUGCGACUAGAGUGCAGGAGAGGUGAGUGGAAUUCCUAGUGUAGCGGUGAAAUGCGUAGAUAUUAGGAGGAACACCAGUGGCGAAGGCGGCUUACUGGUCUGUAACUGACGUUGAGGCUCGAAAGCGUGGGGAGCAAACAGGAUUAGAUACCCUGGUAGUC